This 253-nucleotide ribosomal RNA is filed under the name uncultured bacterium. RNAcentral describes it as "partial 16S ribosomal RNA". It matches the Rfam family "Bacterial small subunit ribosomal RNA", at positions 524 to 776 of the family's 1533-position model. The record is from RNAcentral.
UACGUAGGGGGCUAGCGUUGUCCGGAAUCAUUGGGCGUAAAGCGCGUGUAGGCGGUCCGGUAAGUCCGCUGUGAAAGUCGGGGGCUCAACCCUCGAAUGCCGGUGGAUACUGUCGGGCUAGAGUACGGAAGAGGCGAGUGGAAUUCCCGGUGUAGCGGUGAAAUGCGUAGAGAUCGGGAGGAAGGCCGGUGGCGAAGGCGGCUCUCUGGGACGUCCCUGACACUGAGGCGCGAAAGCGUGGGGAGCAAACAGG